Molecule: RNA transcript, 3402 nt
Organism: Cryptomeria japonica (Japanese cedar)
Lineage: Eukaryota; Viridiplantae; Streptophyta; Pinopsida; Cupressales; Cupressaceae
Gene name: probable DEAD-box ATP-dependent RNA helicase 48
Exons: 8
Source: RefSeq, a predicted model, not a curated record
AUCCGUGUCGUCGUUCUGAAAAAUGCUUAAAAUUGUUUUAAACCUUGUAAAAAACCUCGACGGGCACUUUGGAUUUGAAGAUUACCAUUACCCUAAACCCCGGGCUCAAACCUCUGGCCAACUUGGCCGACGAAGAGAGUCUGAUUCUUUCGCAGACUAUAGAGCUGAUAAUUUGCAAUGGUAGGACGCCUACCGUCAUUACAUUUACGCAGAAUCUGUCUCUCACAUACCACCAUUUUAAGUGCCUGUAGGUUUGAUCUCGUGUGUUCCAUUUCCUCCACUUUCUCUGCUAAAUUGGGCAGAUGGGAGGAUAUUCGCUUCAUGGGGAGCUCUGGUGGGGCAUUGAACAAAUGGCAACAGAGAAGACUUGAGGAGAAGAGAGCUAUAAAUAAACUUAAAAAGGGUAAGUUACUUGGCAACAGCACUAGUGAUGACUCUAAUUCUUAUAAAAAUAGUAAAAAUUCGGCCAAAGAAGGUUACAAGGAUCAAAUUAGCGCACCUGCCGAUAAAUUUAUGAAGGUGGGUGCUGUGGAUUUAUGGAAUGAAAACGACGGGCCCUUAACAACUGUUCCUCCACUUACAGACACUAGUAAGGUGCGUGAUUCAUUAAAUGGGGGCAAAGUGCAGAGGAAGGACACUGUAAAAGAUGGUUCAGGGAAAGGUGGGUCGAUUGGAUUUAGGAGAGGUUUUUCUAGUCUAAGAAGAUUUAAUGGAUUGAGAUUUUUUAUGAAGGCUGAGGAACUGGAUGAUGGGGUCACUAUUAACGAUAGUUUGGGCAAGAGAGAAUCAGUUAUGUUCAGGAGAGCUUUUUCUAGGGGAUUUAAUACAGCAGGGAUUUUUAGCGGGGUUCGGGAAUUGGAUGGGCGAGACACUAUGGACAAUAGUUUGGGCAAGAGUGGAUCAGUUUUAUUCAGGAAGUGUUUUUCGAGUGGAAGUAGAAGGAGAUUUAAAAGAGUAGGAACAUCUAGUGAAGAUGAAGAAUUGGAUGAAGAGUGGUAUGGAGAUGGACCUUUUGAUAGCGUUGGGAGUCAUACUAAGGAAGAAGAUACUGGGUUCAGCAGUUCAAAAUCAAAGUCGAAUUGGAGAAAGGGCAGGGAGUUUGAAAGAUUAGGGAGCUUUGGUGAUGAAGAGGAAACAGGACGGAAGAUUAGGAAGAACAGUGCCAUACCGAAGAGUUUGAUUGAUGAUGAAAUGGAAUUGGAUAAUAUAAUCGACAAAGAGAUGACAGCUGGUAUGAAGUUUGAAGAAGAGUUGUUGACUGGGAAACGUUUCGGGCAAUUUUAUGACAAUGACAAGGAAGCUUUCAGAAGAUCCAGAUUCCUUAGUAUGGUAGAUUCAAUGGAGAAUUUUUCUGAUCCCAGAUCAAGAGAAGAUUCUUCUGAUGAGGAAGAUGAGCGGAGAGAGUCAAGGUUCCCAAAACCUGGCAGAGUUGGAGGGUCUAUGCGAUCAAAGAGGCAGUUUAUGAGUGGUUCUAAGGAAGAGUUGUCGAAUUCAAGCAGAAAUUUUUCCAGGUGGCGUAAUGAUGAUGGUGAGAAGGUUUUCAGACAAUCCAAACCUAUUAGGAUGGGAGAGUCGACAGAUGCUUAUUCUGGUCACAAAUCAAGAGAAAGAUUUUUCAAUGAGAAUGAGGGCAGGCGAGUCUCCAGGAACCCCAAAACUGGCAGAAUUCAGGGACCAACGCCAGCUCAGUGGGGUUCAAGAUCAAAGAGGCAAUCUAUGGGCAGUUUUGACAAAACAGGGGAGAUGGGAUUUCGAGAGAUUGGAUCCAAUAGAAGGGGAAGAUCAUUUUCAUCUUUCUCAGGGGUAAAAAGACCACUGGGGAGAGAUUUUGAUUUUGAAAAGGAAAUAGAAUUUACUCAGCCCAAACCUAGCGGAACUGGCGAUUUCAUGUCACGGCUUUCUGUUCAAAAGUCAAGGAGGGAAUCUUUGAGAGAAAAGGCAGUGAGUGAGGACAAGGAGAGUAGACAUGGACAUACCGUGGCUGAUGACAGUUGGCUAAAAUUUGGUUCGAGGUUCAAAAGUGAAGCCUCAAGAGACAUGGAGAUGUCUGAAGAUAAAGAAGAGGAAUUGGACACACAGACAUUACCUCGUGAGUUCUGCAAGACAGAGCAACCAAAUGGCAGCAUUUACCAUGCAAAGAAUUACCGGAUGUGGAAUGGCAAUGAGGAGAAAUCUUACUUAAGUUCGUUAAGAUUUGAUCAAUGCAAUAUAUCAACACUUUCCCUUCAGGCUCUUUCAUCGGCAGGGUAUGUGCAAAUGACGGUUAUGCAGGAAUCCACUCUUCCAAUUAUUCUCGAAGGAAAGGAUGUGCUAGUCAAAGCUAAAAGAGGAACAGGCAAGACUUUAGCCUUUUUGCUUCCAGCAAUUGAGGCAGUUGUAAAGUUGCCUCCACCCAGUCAAAAUCUGAAGAGACCCAUUGUUGUACUGAUUUUAUGUCCUAUUCGAGAACUUGCUAUCCAGACUGCUGCAGAGGCGAAUGCCUUGUUGAAAUACCAUAAUAACAUUGGGGUUCAGGUAGUCACUGAGGGUACCAAAUUAUAUGAAGAGAAAAUACAGCUGGAAACAAAUCCUUGUCAGAUUGUAGUAGCUACACCUAGGAGGCUAUUGGAACAUAUUGACAAUGCACCAGCCUUUUCCAACCGUUUAAUGGGAUUGGAAUUACUCGUCCUUGAUGACACUGAUUGGUUGUUAAACCUGGAAUUUCAUGAGGACCUUCACAAAAUUAUAGAUGUUGUACCAAGACACAGGCAGUCGCUCAUAUUUUCAGCUACAGUUCGUCAGGAGGUUCGUCAAUUAUCUCAGAUUGUUUUACGAAGACAUCAUUCUUUUAUUAACACAGCUGGAUAACCCAUGCCAAGAUUGUGCAGAGAUGCAUUGUUAUCUCAUAUGAAAACCAUUUCAAUGUGCUUUAUGAUGAACUUAAGAAGCAAAACACUCGGAAGUCUGGUUACAAGGUGAAAAGUGGUUUAAAAGUGUGAUGAGGAGGAUUCGGUAUCAGAUUUUGUUGAAACACAAUCAGUUUUUUAUGAGAUUAAUGCGCAGAUUGGAGAAGAUGAAUUGGAGUUGAUACAAAAAGAAGUUCCAAAUAAUGAAAAGAGUUUCUCAGGUUGAGGAGGGAAAGCUGUUUGCUUUGGAGCUUGUCCAUAUUUUUCUAUGUUGGAGGUUGGCCCUUAAAGGAUGAGGGAUAGACCACAUAAGGAUAUUGUAAAGCCCAUUCGACGAGAAUUCAACUACUUGGGAGGAUGCAAUGCAAUUGAGAUUUAUAUAUCCCCAUCUUUUUGCAAUCUUCCAAGAGUAAGCCUAUUCCUAGGAGGGAAGGAUGUAAUGCAUCUAUCAUUUGAUUUUGGAUAUUGUGUGAUCCUAGAUGUAUACCUAAUAAUCAUUAUACUUCAUUAUUUUGCA